AAAAAAAGGAACGAUACAGAGAAGAUUAGCAUGGUCCCUAGGCAAGGAUGACAUGCAAAUUCGUGAAGUGUUUUUUU
Small nuclear RNA from Cricetulus griseus (Chinese hamster), 77 nucleotides. Lineage: Eukaryota; Metazoa; Chordata; Mammalia; Rodentia; Cricetidae. The record is from Ensembl.